This 61-nucleotide transfer RNA is filed under the name Dendropsophus norandinus. Its description in RNAcentral is "partial tRNA-Val". Lineage: Eukaryota; Metazoa; Chordata; Amphibia; Anura; Hylidae. The record is from RNAcentral.
UAGCUUAAUAAAAGCAUCUCGCUUACACCGAGAAGAUACCCGUUAGCCUGGGUUACUUUGA